This is a non-coding RNA of Misgurnus anguillicaudatus (oriental weatherfish), 1289 nucleotides long. NCBI's taxonomy places the organism in Eukaryota, Metazoa, Chordata, Actinopteri, Cypriniformes, Cobitidae. The record is from RefSeq and is a predicted model, not a curated record.
AUAAAAUAAUCGCUGACAAAGGACUCGGGGAAAAAUCUCGGUAAAAAUUCUCAGAGAAAUAUACAGAUUUAAAGAAAUCAGUUGAAUUUUGAACUGCUCUACGGUCCCACACGUGCAGCAUGAACUAGUCACGAUCACGACACGCGUCGAUCACGUGACACCGGCGUUUUUUAUUAGUUGUAUGGUUACCAUGGAAUUUUAGACCCAACAUAGAACGUCUGCUCGGAGGCUAAAGCGCAGUUUGCAUAGUGUUGGGUCAUUCUAUGGUAAGGAUGGUGAGGCUGGUGGUGAGAAACACAGCAAGAACGACAAAAAACAAUGUCUUCACAAAACAAAUAGAGGAAAGGGAGGCUGCUAAAGGCAGUUCAACAUUGCAAACAUGGAUUCAAAGCUCCAUCAAGCCAGCAGAUUCAUGUGAUGGAGUGUGGUGUGCCCUAUGCAGCUCAUGGAUUGAGGCACAGUGCGGGCACAGGCUGCGGUUUACCCCAGGUUUUCAGUAGUGAGGUUAGUCGUACGUGCACUGUAAGGUGAGUGGGUCGGGAAAAGGCAUGCAUCUAAUGGUGUUCCCGUUUGCUGUGAUUUCUUCACUGACGUCGUCAUCAUCACCUGAAGCUUGUUGAUCCCCAAUCGGCAGUAGUAAAUAACUCUCUUGUUCCCCUCAGUCUUUGCGAGUCCGUCAUUGAAUGUAGUAGAGGUGCUUCUGAUGCAUUUCGCUUUCUUGUCCUGUCGUGUUAUGUUCCCAGUUUUAUUCACAAAUAUUAGUCUGUGUUAUCUGCUGUCUCGUCCUGGCAGACUUCCAGCCGUCACGCUGCUUCCUUCUUUCCAGUUCUACAAACAGUCAGUUCAUGAACUAGAUUGUCUUCGCUGUGGAGAGAUUGGAUUACUACGAGUCUCAGUCAGUUCUCACCUGCUGCACACAGCUGAGUUGUCUCUCAUUCUCUGGACAUUUACAACCGUCACCAGAGCUCUGUCACUGCCCUUCUCCAGCGAACUGAACAGUUUUUUGCGCUUUCUAGCGCUGUCAUUUAUUACCAUCACUAACUGUGUUUCUCCUCUAUAUCACAGCUCUGGACUGUUGCUGUUGACGUGCUGUCCCUUUUGGGUUGUGCCGUGGUCCGGUUCGCCGUAUAAUUCCACGGAGAUUUAAUUUUCCCCAGCCUUCACCCUGAGCCGUCAUUGCCAGGGAAUAUUCUUCGAGCUCUGUUAUCCCUUCCCCGGAUACCUUUAAGUGACUUUGGUGACUGAGAGACUUAUUGUGUGUAUUCAAUAAAUAUCACUCUGCUCUGGAA